This is a long non-coding RNA of Candoia aspera, 254 nucleotides long. RefSeq lists it as uncharacterized. The transcript is spliced from 3 exons. Lineage: Eukaryota; Metazoa; Chordata; Lepidosauria; Squamata; Candoiidae. The record is from RefSeq and is a predicted model, not a curated record.
GAGGGACGCUGGGAGUGGCGGUUGUUUCAAGAUGGCGGAUGUGGCCGCGGGGCUGAAGCCGGAAGGAGCUGCCUACUGGAGCCGGGACCUUUCAGAUGAAGACCGGCAACCUGUAUAUGUUCCAGGAGUUUCUGAUGAGAGGAAUGUUAGAGCAAGGCGUCUUCUGAGAGGGCAGAAGACAGAAGCGAAGGCCAAAGUAGCUGUCGCUGCGACUCCAGCCCCAAUGGAGGCCUUGAAACAGACUGGAGAGGAAG